GCAGAAUUGGUGUAAAUGGCUGGAUUUAGGAGAGGUGUGAUGACUGCAUAAAAUACAGCAAGAAACUUGUCCACCCAGGGGAUACUGACUGGCCACAAAUAAAUGAAGAUGCAAGGCCCAAAGAAUAACACUACCACCGUGAUGUGGGCAGUGCAGAACAGUCCCUUAAUCCAGGAAAACCAUGGACUCUGAUGAUUACGGAUACGUAAGAAGAGGCCUUCCUCAACCAGGACAUCUAUCGAGCUGUGAGACUGUCUAGAAAUCAUUCCCUUUGAUGCUGUAGGGAGUACAGAAGUCCCAAGAUGCAGCUGGAAGAAAACUCUUGAUAACUCUGGAAGCUAUCCAGCACU
Molecule: long non-coding RNA, 350 nt
Filed under: Macaca mulatta (Rhesus monkey)
Lineage: Eukaryota; Metazoa; Chordata; Mammalia; Primates; Cercopithecidae
Description: lncRNA (ENSMMUG00000061709.1)
Source: RNAcentral